GAAGAAGAAGAAGAAGUAGUAGUAGUAGUAGAAGAAGAAGGGUACACAACCUAUGAAAAGAUGCCGGAGGAAAAGCCAGAAAUUGUGGUUUCCCCUGCCCCUGACGUGGCCGCUGAGCCAGCGCAACCUGCCGGCCUAGCUGUUGACGGUUCGACACUCCCGGACAUGACUGACUCAAAUGAAGAGAAUAGUACGCCACAGUGUCAGGUGAGUUAUACAUUUCUAGUUUUCUGAUAUCACGUUAUUGUUUGCAAUGCCUGAGUUUGCUAGCCGACAACAUAGCUAUAAGGGUAGUUUAAGCAAACCGCUAACAAACCGUAGCCUACAUAUACAUGAACCCUUCGGAGAUAUUGAUUACUUGCUGUAAGCAUUAGAGGUGGCAGAAUGACAAAACAUGUUUCUCUCUCUAUCACAAUUUUGGGUUGACCAGAACCUGGACCAACUUCUGUUUCCUGUUCUACAAUGGGCAUAGACCUUGCGUUAAUUUUCAACCGGACAGAU
Molecule: long non-coding RNA, 501 nt
Organism: Gymnodraco acuticeps
Lineage: Eukaryota; Metazoa; Chordata; Actinopteri; Perciformes; Bathydraconidae
Exons: 3
Source: RefSeq, a predicted model, not a curated record